This 50-nucleotide ribosomal RNA is filed under the name Glycine max (soybean). Its description in RNAcentral is "partial 25S ribosomal RNA". The record is from RNAcentral. RNAcentral also lists the same sequence under 18 other names. Lineage: Eukaryota; Viridiplantae; Streptophyta; Magnoliopsida; Fabales; Fabaceae.
GAGACCUCAGGUCAGGCGGGGCUACCCGCUGAGUUUAAGCAUAUCAAUAA